AUUGAACGCUGGCGGCAGGCCUAACACAUGCAAGUCGGACGGUAGCACAGAGAGCUUGCUCUCGGGUGACGAGUGGCGGACGGGUGAGUAAUGUCUGGGGAUCUGCCCGAUAGAGGGGGAUAACCACUGGAAACGGUGGCUAAUACCGCAUAACGUCGCAAGACCAAAGAGGGGGACCUUCGGGCCUCUCACUAUCGGAUGAACCUAGAUGGGAUUAGCUAGUAGGCGGGGUAACGGCCCACCUAGGCGACGAUCCCUAGCUGGUCUGAGAGGAGGUCCAGCCACAAUGGAACUGGGACACGAUCCAGGCUCCUACGGGAGGCAGCAGUGGGGAAUAUUGCACAAUGGGCGCAAUCAUGAGGCAGCCAUGCCACGUGUAUGAAGAAGGCCUUCGGGUUGUAAAGUACUUGCAGCGGGGAGGAAGGCGAUGUGGUUAAUAACCGUAUCGAUUGACGUUACCCGCAGAAGAAGCACCGGCUAACUCCGUGCCAGCAGCCGCCGUAA
RNAcentral lists this ribosomal RNA (504 nucleotides) under uncultured bacterium. Its description in RNAcentral is "partial 16S ribosomal RNA". It matches the Rfam family "Bacterial small subunit ribosomal RNA", at positions 29 to 523 of the family's 1533-position model. The record is from RNAcentral.